RNAcentral lists this unclassified non-coding RNA (341 nucleotides) under Hevea brasiliensis (rubber tree). The record is from RNAcentral. Lineage: Eukaryota; Viridiplantae; Streptophyta; Magnoliopsida; Malpighiales; Euphorbiaceae.
CAUACUAGAAGCAGUCCAAAUUCAGUGUCUGAAUCUUUGAUUUUUACCAAGUAUGAGUGUGAGGAUAAACUUUUGUGCAAUCACAAGGUUGCUCCAUUUCAAUUUUGGAGGUCAUGGGUUCAAAAUAUUGAAGCAGCCUCCUUGCAAAGGGAGACAAAGGUUGUAUACAUCUAAUCCUAUCCUCCCAUGGGACACCCUUUAAUCAAUAAUGACAGCUGCUUUAGAUGUAUUCCAAUGCUGGAGGGCCUAUUUCAAUGUUCUGGACUUUAGAGGAUUCUGUCCAUUUUUUUCAUCAACUUGGUUGUCUGGGAGACUGAUUAAUUAGGCUGUCAAAAUAUCAG